Molecule: ribosomal RNA, 301 nt
Filed under: uncultured bacterium
Lineage: Bacteria
Description: partial 16S ribosomal RNA
Rfam family: Bacterial small subunit ribosomal RNA
Source: RNAcentral
CAGCCGCCGCGGUAAUACGUGGGGUGCAAGCGUUAUCCGGAAUUAUUGGGCGUAAAGAGCUCGUAGGCGGCCUGUCGCGUCUGCUGUGAAAACUGGGGGCUCAACCCCCAGCCUGCAGUGGGUACGGGCAGACUAGAGUGCGGUAGGGGAGAUUGGAACUCCUGGUGUAGCGGUGGAAUGCGCAGAUAUCAGGAAGAACACCGAUGGCGAAGGCAGAUCUCUGGGCCGUAACUGACGCUGAGGAGCGAAAGCAUGGGGAGCGAACAGGAUUAGAUACCCCCGUAGUCCCUGUCUCUUAUAC